RNAcentral lists this ribosomal RNA (511 nucleotides) under uncultured bacterium. Its description in RNAcentral is "bacterial SSU rRNA". It matches the Rfam family "Bacterial small subunit ribosomal RNA", at positions 36 to 507 of the family's 1533-position model. The record is from RNAcentral.
CUGGCGGCGUGCCUAAUACAUGCAAGUCGAACGCACUCUCGUUUAGAUUGAAGGAGCUUGCUCCUGAUUGAUAAACAUUUGAGUGAGUGGCGGACGGGUGAGUAACACGUGGGUAACCUGCCCUAAAGUGGGGAUAACAUUUGGAAACAGAUGCUAAUACCGCAUAAAACCUAACACCGCAUGGUGUAGGGUUGAAAGAUGGUUUCGGCUAUCACUUUAGGAUGGACCCGCGGUGCAUUAGUUAGUUGGUGAGGUAAAGGCUCACCAAGACCGUGAUGCAUAGCCGACCUGAGAGGGUAAUCGGCCACACUGGGACUGAGACACGGCCCAGACUCCUACGGGAGGCAGCAGUAGGGAAUCUUCCACAAUGGACGAAAGUCUGAUGGAGCAACGCCGCGUGAGUGAAGAAGGUUUUCGGAUCAUAAAACUCUGUUGUUGGAGAAGAAUGUAUCUGAUAGUAACUGAUCAGGUAGUGACGGUAUCCAACCAGAAAGCCACGGCUAACUACGUG